CAAGGUUGAAUGAUGAUCACAAGUGCAUAGUUCAUAUGAUCAAAUAAUGAUUACUUGAACAAAAAUAGUCUUUCGCUCCUAUCUGACGACCUUU
Non-coding RNA from Triticum urartu, 94 nucleotides. The record is from Rfam. Lineage: Eukaryota; Viridiplantae; Streptophyta; Magnoliopsida; Poales; Poaceae.